RNAcentral lists this ribosomal RNA (446 nucleotides) under uncultured bacterium. RNAcentral's name for it is "bacterial SSU rRNA". It matches the Rfam family "Bacterial small subunit ribosomal RNA", at positions 354 to 796 of the family's 1533-position model. The record is from RNAcentral.
GUGGGGAAUAUUGCGCAAUGGGCGAAAGCCUGACGCAGCCACGCCGCGUGAGCGAUGAAGGUCUUCGGAUCGUAAAGCUCUGUGGGGGGAGAAGAAGAAAGCCGGUGAAGAGCCGGCCCUGACGGUAUCCCCUUAGCAAGCACCGGCUAACUCCGUGCCAGCAGCCGCGGUAAUACGGAGGGUGCAAACGUUGCUCGGAAUCAUUGGGCGUAAAGCGCGCGUAGGCGGCUGAGCAAGUUGGAUGUGAAAGCCCUGGGCUCAACCUAGGAUGUGCAUUCAAAACUGCUCGGCUUGAGUCUCGGAGGGGGUCAGAGAAUUCCCGGUGUAGAGGUGAAAUUCGUAGAUAUCGGGAGGAACACCAGUGGCGAAGGCGCUGACCUGGACGAUGACUGACGCUGAGGCGCGAAAGCGUGGGGAGCAAACAGGAUUAGAAACCCUAGUAGUCC